AAAUAGGAAUUAACUAAAAAUUCUGUGUGUUUUGCUCAUUGAUGUCCCCCAAAAAAGGGCAACGUCUUAACCUGAGAGCCAUAUAGAUCAAGGUUAAGGUUUCCUCGAACUUUAAACUUACUUCCAGCAACCAUGGUCUUCGUCUUCUCCUUGUUUACUACCAUCCUGUUGUUUUCUGACCACUUCAUCACUGGUUGUAAAUAACUAUUCAAUUGAUGUUCCACAUCCUGUAAGUUCUAUACAGCCACAUAAUUCAUUUAGAGAAUGAACAACAAAGGUUCCAAUAUCGAUCCUUGUGAAACACCAGAUACUACGUUAGCUUUUGAAGAUACGUUAUUGUCCA
Paramuricea clavata is the source of this 343-nucleotide non-coding RNA. NCBI's taxonomy places the organism in Eukaryota, Metazoa, Cnidaria, Anthozoa, Malacalcyonacea, Plexauridae. The record is from the annotation of a GenBank genome assembly.